UCGGCCCAUCUGUUCCCAGGCCCUGAUCCCAGCCUCCAAGCCUGUUUUGCCGGCACACACGGAGAGGAAAUGACGGCACCUUUAAAGACGCAAUGCUUUUGUUAUGGAGUCACCUAUUGAGCCAAGACAUGGGGACCUGAGCGACACGUAGUGUUGUGGAUUGGUGUUAGGAAGGGAUGGCCUGGGAAGGCUGAGGAUGGAGGCGAGGAAAAGGGAAGCUGCAGGCUGCUGUGAGGGGCACCCCUGGUCAAAUGGCACUUUGGGGAUGAAGAGACUUGGGAUCCACUUGUAACGCCAGCCGCACACUGUGGGGGAUCUCUGGGGACACUUCUGUCACUUGUGUUUUAUUAUACUAAGAGCCUAGAAGUUUGAUCUAAGAAUGGCUGGGAGUCAGCAGCCGGCGCUGUGGAGCCCUAAUUUGUGGUAACAAUAUUGAAAUAUGGAAAUCCUCCCACACCAGUUUGUAGUAGUGCUGCAUGAGCCCCUCUCUUGGGCAUCCCCGCCCACCAAUAUCACCUCAUAAUCCGGCAUAAUCUGGCACCAGGGGAGCCAAAUACCUGGCAUGGGGGAGCUUGGAGGGGGCUGUUCCAGCCCAACGUGGGCAGCCCCAGCGGGUGACUGGUAUCCCGAAGCUGUUAGUGCUCUGAGCAUCACCUCUGCUCUGCCAUGGGGCACUGUUGGGUGUCCUGGGCUGCAGGUGUCCUGGGCUGAGGUCAUGUGGUGUCAGGUGUGCUAGGCUGAGGUUGUGUGGGUGUCCGGUGUCCUGGGCUGUGGGUGUCCUGGGCUGAGGUCAUGUGGUGUCAGGUGUGCUAGGCUGAGGUUGUGUGGGUGUCCGGUGUCCUGGGCUGCGGGUGUCCUGGGCUGAGGUCAUGUGGUGUCAGGUGUGCUAGGCUGAGGUUGUAUGGGUGUCAGGUGUGCUGGGCUAGGUUGUGGACAUCGGUGUCCUGGGCUAGGUCGUGCGGAUGUCAGGUGUGCUGCAGGUGUCCUGGGCUGAGGUUGUGCAGUGUCAGUCAUCCUGGCACUGCCUGUCCACCCAGGCCUGGGCCUGCUUCUGGAACCCCCACGGGUUCUCUGGGGCUUGGGUGCUCACCAUCCUGGCCUGGAAGUGGAAUGUUGGCACGGGUUUCAGAGCAAGGGCUCUGAAGCCACGUGGCCCUGGGUUUGAAUGGUAAAUAUACUUUUAAUGUGAUCUUGAGAAUUUUUCUUCAAUCUCUGUAGCUCUAUUUUCUUACCUCUAAUAGGCCUAUGGCAAGGAUUAGAUGAAAUUAGCACAAAGUGGGAUCUUCCAACCCCUCCUCCUGGUCUUAGGGUACCUGGGGGCAGGCUAAAAGUAGGUUCUCCGACACCCCUAAGACCUGCUAAGUCAGACCCCCGGGGGUGGGGGGCAGUGCAGCCAGCCAGGCCUGGGAAGCCCGGGCCAGGCCGCGUGCCUCCCCAGCAUUCUCCAGCACCUGCACUGCAGCUGGGCUCCCUGGCCUGGAGCCCCGGGUGUUAUCCCCGACCACCACGGUGCGGUGCUGGUGCUGGGCGACUCACACUGCUAGCUGUGCCCUGAGCAAAGCCUCCGUGAUGGUUGUGCGCUGAAUGAAUUGUGUCCUCCAGAUUCAUCAGUUGCAGGCUGAACUCCCAGGACCUCAGAAUGUGGCUUUAUGCCGAGCUGGGGGCUCCACGGCGGCCAUUAAGGUAUAAUGAGGUCAUGUGGGUGGGCCCUGAUCCAGCAGGACUGGUGUCCUUACAAGAAGAGGAGGACACAGCCGUGCACGCAGGGACAGUCAGGUGAGGGCACGGGGAGAAGACGGGAGCUAAGCUGAGGAGAGAGGCCCCAGGCAGAAGCAGACCUGCCUAGAUCUCGCGCUGUGGCCGCCAGGACUGGGAAACGCAGACGCCCGCUGCUGAGCCCCCGGUCCGCGGAGCUGUGUUGUGGCUGCGGAGCUGACAAGGAUACGGAUCCUCCCUGGCUUUGCCUGAGGCCGCCCGUGAAGUCCAUUUACCCGCCUCGUCUUGCCGGUCCCCAGGCCCCCGGGCACGGGUUCCCCUUCGGCUUCUUGCAGUAGCUGCAGCCCUGGAAGCUGCUGGGAGGAGGCGGCUGGGGCUGGGCAGGGCUCGGAGCUGACUUCCUGUCACCCGAGCGAGCUGCACAAAAGUCCCAAAGGCCACCCUUUCUACGUGUGCUGAUGGUCACUCGGCAAUUCCCAGGCACUGAUUUUGUGUCUGGGAAGAUCACCGUGGCCCCCACGGACAAAAGCUGCUGCUCUCCUGGGUCCCCCUGGAACCAAAGGCCCCAGAGAACCUGUGGGGCUUCCAGAGGCAGGCCCGGCCCUGGGUGGAGAGGAGAGGAGCAGGGCACCCGACCCCUGCGCCGUGGUGGGAAUGCGGGGAGCACAGCCCCCCGGGGCGCCCCCAUCCCUCGCGGUGCACCGGAGCCUGACCCCGGAGCUGCCUUCAACGCCAGCCUGCACGCGACUCUCUCCGAGCUGAUUUCUGCGGCUCCCGCUGCCCUUGGCUGGCUCACUGGUUCUUUCGAAGCCUGUCCAGUGUCCCCCCAGCCCCCCGGACCCCGCUCCACCUCUCCUCUAAAGAGGAAGCCAAGAGUUGGUUCGCAGCCUCUCUCGGCGCCACGUCAGCCCGGGAAGUGUUUUCAGCUCCCGGGGCUCCUCAGGGUGCCUUUGCAACUCACAGUCCCAGGGCGUGCAAUCGUCCUCCAGGCACCAGGGCCCAGCCCAGCCCGGAGGCCUCAGACCUGGCCAGAGCUGGGCCUUUGCUGCCAUCUGCUGGCGGCUCUCGGAUGACAGGUUGAAGGCCUGAGGAGUGGCCUCCCCGGGCCGGUCCAGUUCAAGUUCAGCAGGGGACAAGGCCUGAACUCUGCAUUCCUGAGCAGCUCCGGGGGAAGCCCAGGUGCUGGCCACGUGACAGUUCUGCUGCGCUCAGAUCUCGGACUGCAGAGGCCGACCUAAGAGUUUCCGCUGCUUGGGAACCUGUGGCCACGUGGCCUGGUCUGGGUUUCACAGGUGUGGCCUCUUGGGGACCCUCUGACUGACCAUCUCAUUUCCCUUUGGCUGAAGCCCAAGAGGUUCCUGCGACCUGUCCAGGGUCACAGAGCUGGUUCCUGAAUAAUUGGGAAGAGAUGCACCCCUUCCACGGCCCAGAAAUGUUUUCCAAAGACUGUUCAAGAAAGGUGGAUUGGCGAGUCGUUAAGGCCAGCGUAGUGAGAAAGGACCUCUCCAAAGAGCGUCAUGAAGACUCCGCAUCCAGGUGUCUCCGGAGGAAAGAUGCUUACACGGGGCCACCGUCCCUCUGCAGAGCCCAAGCCCUAUACACGCUGCUGACCCCAGGCACGGCCUGAGCGAGGGCCCUGGAUGCCUUCCAAUCCCGGAGGAAAAGGGGCUGGAGAAGCAUCGCUUGACUCUUUCUUCAAUUUACACAAAGCAGGAAAGAUAUUUAGCAAACUAGGCAUCACAUUCUAAACAUGCUCAACAGAGAGGCCCAAAUACGCUCUGCUAAUGUUAUGACUCUUGAUUAACCCGAUUUAUCAGUGUCUGGUUCAGAGGAGCCCCAGAGAAAGCCCUUUCUGCAAAGAAGAGGCUUCUGCAGAGCGUGUCUUCCUUGAGGACCCUCUAGGCCAGCAGCCCCCACAGCCUCCGCGCAGCACCGCAGCCCUCCCGUUUACACGCCAUUCCCCCGGGAGCAUGGGUCAGCGAGGGACGGGGUCCUUUCCACAGUGACGGCAAAUUCCUGCUCUGGAGGAAAAAAGCAGCUUUUUCUCCAACAGAAGUGAACCCAGGCUGUCCCACGGUGGCGGGUUGUGGGAUUCUGGGUGCCCCCAGCCCCUCCGGCUCGCUGCCCCGCUGGGCCCUCGCGUGGCUGGGGUGAGCCAGCUCUCUGCCUGUGUCGCUGUCCCUGCCCGUACGGAUCAUUCCUGCCUAUAAAUCCACGGUGACUCUAUUGGUGUGGAUUUUCUCCACUGGCCUCUGAGCUCCUUGUGGAAAGGACGGUGUCCUCUUUACCUGUUCGUUUCUAGUUUGUGUUACACUGCUGUGCUCCGGGCAGAUGUUCAAUGUAUAUUUGCUGAAUAGACGAGUGAAUGAACAGUAAGGGAAACUCUGAAUUGUACCCUCAGCUCUUUCCCACAGCGGAAUGAGGAGGUUGGACUGCACACGGCGAGGAUGCCACGUGGCCCAGAAUUCCGGGAGGGAAGUCUCCGGCUGUCGUCUACACCCGGCGACAAGUGUUCCCAGGUACACAGGGCUGCGGAGUAACUGUGAGAUUCUGGGCCUCUCUUUCCUUCUGACACUGGUUAAAUGCCUCAGUGACCUGACAGUUUCUGGCUAUCUUCAGCUUCCCAGCUCAUGCGUACACUCGCUGUGUCAGUCAGGACAACCUAGCAAACGCUGCAGUGACAAGGGACCUGCAGGGCUUAGAGCCUUAACGAGGGCUUCCUUCUUACCUGUGCUCACUGCUCCCCAGUGCCGGCCUGGGGCUCUGCUCUGCCUCCUCUGGGAAAGACUGACCGAGUCGCCAUCGGGAUGGCUGACAGUUUUGUGGCUGAGAGAAAGAGACACUGGAGGCUGUGGAACAACCACUGAGAUGUUCCAGCUCAGGGUCUGUCCCACGACUCCCAUCCCAGGGCAGUGUCUGGAAAUGGUUCUUCAACCACAGUGGCCACGGAGUGCCACCCUCCCACAGGGCCCGGAAGGCUCAGGCCAAGCAGCCCUACUCACCGUCUCUCUUGCCCCUGCCCCGUCUCCUAGCACCCAGCUGGGAUGGCCGUCGAGCAAUGCCCUUGGACUCUGCUCUGGAUAAUGACCUUCUCACUAUGGUGACUUAAGCCGGCCCCUGUCCCUACACACUUUGGCGCACUCCCAUCUCCGCCCUGGGCCAGGCCCCCGUCCACUCUCCUCUUCACCAGUGUGGGCCCAUCCUGGCCUCACCGCUGCUGGGGUAGCGGCUUGGCUUCACACCCUCUCCAGGUGGCUUGGCUGUCUGUUUCCCUGUUUUCUUUCUUUUUUUUUUUGAGGAGUCUUGCCCUGUUGCCCAGGCUGUGCAGUGGUGUGAUCUUGGCUCACUGCAAUCUCCGUCUCCUGGGUUCAAACGAUUCUCCUGCCUCCUCUUGAGUAGCUGGGAUUACAGGCAUGUACCACCACACCCAGAUAAUUUUGGUAUUUUUAAUAGAGAUGGGGUUUCACCAUGUUGGCCAGGCUGGUCUCAAACUGCUGACCUCAGGUGAUCCACCCGCCUUGGCCUCCUAGACUGCUGGGAUUAGAGGCGUGAGCUACUGCGUCCAGCCCUCUCUUUCCCUAUUCUAAGGUGAGAUUGGUCCUGAGGGCAGCCCUGUGCUGGGUCUGGGAUGGGAUUUUGCCUGUUUUACAGACCUGCGACUGCCGCAUGGAUGCUGGCAGAAGACAUGAGAUCCCUGGUCAGAGACUGGGCACCUUGUUACUCCCCACACAGCAGGCAGCACGACCAUUGCAUAUUUGAGUCACUUUCCCCGGCCCCCAGGUCCCCGGGGUGGUGCAAGCUGCCCGGGUGGAUGCUGCUCAUUUGAUAGGUUGCAUCACAGGACGGGGAUAGCUGAGGGUAAGUCAUGUUCUAGCAAGCAGAAUCGGGUGGCCUUCUGGCCCAAAGAAAGGCAUGAUCCCAUUAUUCAAGGUGACUCGCUGCAAGCCGAAUCGUGAGAAGUGGCCAGAGCGAGGAGUGGCCAGGGCCCCGCAUUUGUGGCUCGCCCAGCCGGCUGCGUAGGCGUGUGCAGACCCAUGUUGGAGGCAGUCUUCCUACACACCCCAGACCGUGAUUACUCCCAGUCUGCCUGCAACUUCCCUUGAAUCUCUCGGGCCUGUCUGGUUUAUUACUCCAAUUUUCUUUUUAGCCUUUAGGUCACAAAGUUCAUAGUUGGACAAAAUCAUAUUUAUCACAAUCUGAUACUGAUGAUGGGAUACAUCAUCACAGGAUGAUGGUUUCAGCCUGAUUCCUGUAGCAAAACGGACUCUUAGGUUCCUCACAUGCUGGCAAGGGGACGGGACGCUCAGAAGAGCCUGGAAUUGGGGUGCAGCUGGGCCUCACAGGACCUGGAAUGGAAUUUGAGACAUGCUCUGCCACCUGCUGUGUGCUGGGUGGGACCCUCCCGUGGGACCACCCUCACCCCAUCGCACCUCACCCCACCCAGCCACCGCCCAUCACCGGAGCAGCUUGUCCGGGGUCUGUUCAGCACCUAUGAGAUGGCCUGACUUGAAGAUAUUGCUCAGAGGCUGUGACUGGUUGGAAAGGCUGGGGUAGGGUGCGGCAGAGACAGGUGGGUCAGACCAGGCAGGAGAGAGCUCAAGGGAGGAGCUGGACCAGCUGCAGCUUCUACAAACCACACCGGCUUCUCCGCACAUGGCCCUAGUGCUUGUCCCUGCCCUUCGAGUCAACAGCAGGCCUGGGGUGGUCCCCAGCACCUCCAGGAUUCCUACCAAGGAAGAGAAACUGCAGCUGAGCAGGGCCACCGUGAAUGAGGAAACCCUGUCCAUCCACCCAGGGUCGACAUGCCGUGAGUGGUUCCUGCAUGCUGGAGAAACCAACGCACGCUCUCUCGCCUCUGGGGGUGUGCUGAAAGGCAGGUGACAGUGACGUUAUAAAAUUGGAGGGGUGCCCUGUCACCUCCAGACAACAUACAACUCACUUGCACGUUAAGCCCAACUGGCCACAGGUCACCUGAGCCCCACCUGAGGAGGGGUCACUGGUGGGUCAAUAUACUGGGUUUGAAAUCACUUUUCCAGUCAAAUUCUCUCUCUUGCUCCACAGAGGACUUGGAGGUUUGAUGCCUGAGAAUGGGCAGCAUCUUUCUCACGGGAGUGAAAGAACCAGCGAGGCAGCUCCAGUAGAGCCAUAGGCAGGCCCCCCCAGGCAUGGGUGGGGCAGGACAGGAGGGAGGAGGGGCAGCCAAGGACCUGGGAACACAGGCCCCACGGCAGCUGCAGUGGCCCCAGGAGGGCUGGCAGGGCCACUUCCUGCAGGGUGGGUGUGAAGAGGAGAGUUUGCCAACCAGGAAUGAGACCUUCCCCAGCUUCCAGGGUGUGCCCCUCCCUCUCUCCUCCAUCCUCCCCGCUGUGGAAGGAUGUCUGGGAGGGCAGGUGACCCUGUCGCCUGUUUGCUUCACAUGCGUUCCCCUUCGUGUGGCAGAUCUCCCUGCAGGAGUGGAAAGGGUGGCAGUGCUGCCUUUCAGGGCCAGGGAAAAGCGUAGGAACCCAAACAGGUAGAGUGGGAAAUGGCGUUUGCCACUGUCUGCCCCCAGCCUUCGUGUUGCCAAGAAGAAGAACAGGGUGGGAGGCCGAGGUGGUUGCUCAAGGUCACAAAGAGGGUGAGUGGGGGAAGGCGGACCCCCAACCCUGGCAGAGAUCAGGGGUGUGAAGAGGGUCCAGAUGGGGAAGGGGUGUGGAAGAGUAGGAUCAAGUGUUCCUUGUGCACACUGUCGGUGGGAAUGUGGACCAGGGCAGCCACCAUAGGGAAUGCUGUGGAGGUUCCUCAAACAUUUAAAAAUAGAACUACCUACCACCCAGCCAUCCCAAUUCUGGGUAUUGACCCAAAAUAAUUGCAGUCAGUAUUUUGAAGAGGUGUCUGCACCCCAAGUUCAUUGCAGCACUAUUCACAAUAGCCAAGUAGUGCAAGCAACCUCCAUGUCCAUCAACAAAUGAAUGAAUAAAGAGUCCAGGCCAUCAUCACACCACGGAGUACUACUCAGCCAUGAAAAAGAGGAAACCCUGUCAUUAGUGACAGCAUGGAUGAACCCAGAGGACAUUAUGUUCCAUGAGGUAAGCAGAAAGGCAGACACUGCAUGGUCUCCCGUCUACAAGGAAUCUGAAACAGUCAAGCUCAUAGAAGCAGCGAGGAGGGUGGGGGUCUCCAGGGCUGGAGGAGGGGAAGCAGGGGUAGAAUACAGUUUCCAUUAUGCACGACGAGUAGGUUCCAGAGAUCUGCUGUUCAACACAGUGCGUCUACUUAACACUAAUCAUGAGAAAAGAUCGGCUGCACUCAGGAGCACCUGCUUCUGGGUCUGAUGGGCAGUCGUGAGGCUGGUUCCCAGAAUCGGACCUGAGCUGUAUGGGAGGCGCUGGUGCAGUUCGGCCCCAGCUGUUGUGCCUGAAGUGGGUCCCCAGGAGGCUCAGAGCGGGAAGAGGUGGAGGGCAGGGCUGGCUCGUCCUGAGCCCAGGAGGCUCAGUAUCCAGGGCCCCCCCCCCAUAACCACUGUAAGGGGCUGGGAGCAUCAUUUAAUUUCCAUUAAAAUCUAAAGAAAAAAAAAUUAAUGUUUACAUUGAAGAAGCUUUUAACAUAUAAUAUUAAUAACCAUAAUUACUAACAUAACAGUAAUAAUAUCUUUAUAUCACUGCAGUCAUAAAAUACAAUUUUAAACCAUUUUUACGGAGGAAGAAAUCCAAGAAAGUGACCGGCACCCCGACCCAGGUCCAGCCUUGGAUCCACUCCCGUGGUCCGUCUGGCCUGGAGCUGGCCCUUUAAUCUCUCUGCCUCCUUUGCAUCUUGUAGAAUGAGGAGGAUGACUUUGCCCUGACCUUCUUCCUUUGCUCCGGUGUGCGUGCCGCGGGUGACAUUGCAGCCGGGCAAUGGGGCAGGGCUGCUUUGUGUCUACACGUGACUCUCAAGUCUCCCUAAGCUGCUUUCUUUCUCUCACAGGCCCAGGACAGGGGUUCUCACCCCACAGGUGGAGGCGUUGUGGGAUACAAUACAGGGUGACCUGUUAUAUUUGAAUUUCCGAUGAACACAAUUAACUUUUUAGGAUACAUGUGUCCCCACAUGACAGGAGACGGACUAAAAAAUUAUUUGUAAUAUAUGCAAAAUUCACACAACUGGGUGUCUUGUGUUUUCAUUUGUUGCCUUUGGCAACCAUACAUUUGGAGACAUUUUUGAUUGUCAUGACUUCGGGGUGGGGGUGCCCCUGGCACUUAGUGGGUGGAGGUCAGGGACGCUGCCACACAUCCCACAGUGCCCAGGACAGAAACGUCUGCCGAGCCCGAAAACUGCUGCCUACAAGUAGAGGUGACAGGCGAAUGCACCAUCUGUCCUUACUUGAGUUCUUUCCUUCGCAGGCAGGGGAUGAGACCGCGUGAUGCUCACGGCCCCGCCAAUCUCCAUGAGGCCACGACGGAAGCUGGAAAGGCCUGGCGUGGAAAAUGCCUCACCCUGCUCCUGUCUGAGGGUUCAGCUCUGCCUGUGCAGGCCCCAGUCAAGACGUGGGGUGUUCCUGGGUUCCCGCAGGUGCCAUAGGGCCUGAGCUGCCACCCGACCUUGCCCUGCCAGCACCCACAGACGUGACGGGCUUGUUCUUGAACGCCAGGGCCACAGUGUGUCCUUCAUUCCCUCGCAGGGGCUGGUUCCACGCUCACCCCUUCUGGCCCACAGCGCCCCCUGCUGGUCAUUUGAUCAAAGCCGCUCUCGUUGACUUGCUCCUACAUGCAAAUCACCACCAAACUCCCUUUGGCCCUUGUGGUUUAAUACAUCUGGUUACUUUAUUCAGUGUAGCCACAUGAGCGUGCAUGUCCUGAUCUUAAAUAAAACUAUCCAAGUGGCAGCUCAUUAAUCCAAGAGUACCUGUUUUAGUCAGGUUCUCCGGGAAACAGAACCGUUAGGGUGGUUCUCUCACAUAUAUGAGAGAGGGAUUAAUGUUAAAAAAUUGGUUUUCAUGCCUGUAAUCCCAGCACUUUGGGAGGCUGAGGCAGGUGGAUCACCUGAGGUCAGGAGUUCGAGACCAGCCUGACCAACAUGGUGAAACCCCAUCUCGACUAAAAAUACAAAAAUUAGCCGGGUGUGGUGGUGCGUGCCUGUAAUCCCAGCUACUCAGGAGGCUGAGGCAGGAGAAUUGCUUGAACCCUGGAGGCAGAGAUUGCAGUGAGCCAAGGUUGCAUCACUGCACUCCAGCCUGGGCGACAGGGAGAGACGCUGUCUCAAAAAAAAAAAAAGAAAAGAAAAGAAAAAGAAAAAAGAAUUUGGUUUAUGUGGUUGUGGAGGCUGGUAAAAAUCUGCAAGGUAGAGCAGCAGGCUGGGGACCCAAGGAAGGGCUGGUGCUGUAGCUCGGGUCCAAAGGCUGUGGACUGGCAGGACUCCCUCUUCUUUGGGGAGGUCAGUCUUUCUCUGGAGGCCUCAGCUGAUUGGAUGAGCUCCUCAUACACUAUGGAGGGUGAUCUGCUUGAUGCAACAUCUACUGAUUUCAAUGUCAACCUCAUCUAGAAAAUAUUUUCACAGUGACAUCUAGAGUGGUGUGUAACCAAAUAUCCGGGCACUGUGGCCUAGCCGAAUUGUCGUGUACAAUUAGCCAUCACGAUGCCUGUUUGUUAUUCUACACUGUACUUCUGUCCACAGCAGCAGGGCCGUGUGCAAGGUGCCCACCAGCUGACUGCCGUCCCUGGAGCACGCCCUCACGGAUGAGAGUAGCCGGUGGUCACUUUGGAGAGCAGUGGUCCUGCCAGAGAGAACAGGACCACAGGCGGGACGUUUCACCGAGGACAGAGCCGGGCAGUGUCUGGAGCCUGAGGGGCGUGGUGGCCGGGCGUCAGUGAGUUCUGGAAACAGGAAGGCCGAUGCCAGCGUGCCACUGAGAAGGUCAUCUAAGUCCAGCUCAAGGUCAUCAAAACCCACGGUUGCUGCAGUCAUAGAAGAGGACCCCAAGCAGUGGAUUAGUUCUGCCUUCUUCCGCCAAGCGAGUAAACAUCUCAUUCACAGAACAAUUGACUUUCAGACAAUAUUAAGAUUUCCAUAAAAAUGGCUAUUUGGAAAAACACACAUCUGGUCUGAAACAUAAAACUCCAGCAGUCUUGGUGCAGUUAAAAACAGAAUUUGGAGACA
Macaca mulatta (Rhesus monkey) is the source of this 10827-nucleotide non-coding RNA. Lineage: Eukaryota; Metazoa; Chordata; Mammalia; Primates; Cercopithecidae. The record is from RefSeq and is a predicted model, not a curated record.